GAUCAUGGCUCAGGAUGAACGCUAGCUACAGGCUUAACACAUGCAAGUCGAGGGGCAGCAUAUUUCUAGCAAUAGAGAUGAUGGCGACCGGCGCACGGGUGAGUAACACGUAUCCAACCUGCCUUGUACUCGGGGAUAGCCUUUCGAAAGAAAGAUUAAUACCCGAUGUUAUAGUCUAACCGCAUGAUUUGACUAUAAAAGAUUUUCGGUAUAAGAUGGGGAUGCGUUCCAUUAG
RNAcentral lists this ribosomal RNA (235 nucleotides) under uncultured bacterium. RNAcentral's name for it is "partial 16S ribosomal RNA". It matches the Rfam family "Bacterial small subunit ribosomal RNA", at positions 15 to 244 of the family's 1533-position model. The record is from RNAcentral.